Molecule: ribosomal RNA, 253 nt
Filed under: uncultured bacterium
Lineage: Bacteria
Description: partial 16S ribosomal RNA
Rfam family: Bacterial small subunit ribosomal RNA
Source: RNAcentral
UACAGAGGGUGCGAGCGUUAAUCGGAAUUACUGGGCGUAAAGCGCGCGUAGGCGGCUUUGCAAGUCGGAUGUGAAAUCCCCAGGCUUAACCUGGGAACUGCAUUCGAGACUGCAUUGCUAGAGUAUGGGAGAGGGAAGUGGAAUUUCCGGUGUAGCGGUGAAAUGCGUAGAUAUCGGAAGGAACAUCAGUGGCGAAAGCGACUUCCUGGACCAAUACUGACGCUCAUGUGCGAAAGCGUGGGGAGCAAACAGG